Molecule: long non-coding RNA, 5145 nt
Organism: Equus caballus (horse)
Lineage: Eukaryota; Metazoa; Chordata; Mammalia; Perissodactyla; Equidae
Source: RefSeq, a predicted model, not a curated record
UAGAAAGCCUAAAGCUCUACUCAGUCUGAACAAUAUCUGAGGUUGGAAAUUAAGUCCAUAUAAAGGAAACUGCUAGAAAUUAAGAAGAGAAAGAUUGAGAUUUUCACUUUGAAUAUGCAGAUCUAAUUUGUAUAACUGUGUUUAGAGGUGGUUGUUGUUUUUUUAAAAUACCUGAAAUGCUGCUUACAUUUUCAAGUUAGCUGUUAAAUGUAUCUUCAAAUGUGAAUAUGUGUAUAUACAAAAUCUCCUGUAUAGAAUCUUUGCAGUUAUUCUCUUCGGAAGACUAUUCAUUUAGGAUUCUUGUAGUUUAGGUCCUCCUACCCCUACCCCACCCCGAAAUAUCUCAACCACUCUUAGGACACUCAAAGAGGAAGGAAACCUCUUGCCCAAGCCACAUUUACCAAUUUCUAUCUACUUCCUUUGCGUGUGUUUGAUAACUUGCCACAUGCAUAGCCUAUGAGUGACUUCAGACUCCAGUUGCAAUAAGUAACUAUCCAUGGACUCCUUCUAAAUAUUAAGGACCCAUACAUACAAGGUGGAAGAUAUAAAGCCAAAGAUACAUCCCUGACAGAGAUAGUCCAAUUUUUGUAUGAUUAGGGUUUUGUAGAUACUUUAGGAAUCAUUGCAACUCAAGUCUGGAGGAACCCAGAGUUAGCUAAUGUGUACCUCAAUCUGUCCCCUCAGUGGGAGUCAACUUUAUGAACUGCAAGAACUUUCAAAACAGAAGUGUGCUUUUCAAGUGCCUCUUUCUUGCUAAAUUGUUUUAUGACUUUGAAAUUAGUGAUUGUAAUUAAUGAAAUUAUAAUUAACUGUCUCAUAUAUCUGAGCACAGGCUGUAUGGGUUCUUUUCUAAACCCAUUUUAGAAUCACAGUGAGUAACAACUAAGACGCAGCCCUUUCUAUUUUAGAUUGGCAUAUAAUUCAUACUUUUUCCAGUAUUGUUUUUCUUAUUUACUUGAAGUUUUUCUGCAAGAAAAUUCUUUUUUAUAGUGGAGGAUUAAUUUUAAGAAUUAGUUAAACAUAGUCCAUACAGAGAAAUUAAAUCAAAAUUUCUUUGGGAUGAUAUCAUUCAAAUAUGGAGAAAUUUCUGGAAAAAAAUUUGGUCCAUUUCCUAUGACAAAUCUCGAAAAAAAUUUUAUCCUUUAGAGUUUAAUAUGUGAUUGAAAUAAUUCAUCUGCUGUGAGGGAGAAUUCUAGAUGUAGCAGAGAAUCCCCUAAUAUUUGCGGAGAACAAAAAUUCUGGUCAAUGUAAAGAAGAUAGCUAAAUUUCUGAGAACUAGGCUCAGUGAGUUCAUAGCAUGGCUUUUUGAAGUCAAUGUAACUAACAGAAGAUUAUAUUUCACUUAGAAACAGGAAAGUAAUUUUAUUAUAGGAACAUACAGAGAAUAUUCAAUGUGGUUUGUGUCAGGCUCUAGGUUCAUAGUCCAAUCCAGCUCUAAAAUUUGCUUAGAAUAUAAUCUUGUGAAAAUUACUUAACCUCUCUAAGCUGAAAGGUCUUUAUAAAUCUGGCAUCGUAACAGUUCUUAUCUCCUAAUGUUGUUGUAAACAGCAAAGGAGACAAAUCACGUAACAGGUUGAGUGUGAGGCCUGGCAUGGAGAAUGUGCUCAAAAUGUUAUUCUAACUCUUGGUCAGAGGCAAAGGGAACUAACAUUUUUCCAAAGAAACCACUCCAGAAAUAGCUUUGAGAGAAAAAAUAUGAUGGGUAGAGAGAACUUGAGCUGACUCAUAUAAAACAUUUCACAGAAAUCAUCCCUGGCCCAGCAGACAGGGAAGCAGCGAGUCAAUGAAUCACUUGGGAGGAGAUAGACAGCCAUUACUUGCAGCGUGUUGCUAUGACGACCUGGUUCUGUGUGGAGACUGAGGCCACGGGUGGGGUCCAUAGCCCAGUGCAGAUCACGCUGCUGGGGAGAAUGUAAGUGUAGUACGUGUGCUGGAGUUGAGGGAGAUGGUGGAUGAUAAAAUAGGAUGGUGGUGAAGACAGGUUAGGAAAUCUGUCAAGGCUGCCCUGGUGAGGUGGAUAGGAAGAGACAACUGAAUUCCUUCAGAUGUUCGGGGACUAAAGACUUCUAGCAAACAUAAGUGUUGACAGUCGCUGAUGGAGCAAUCAGUGCCUCAUUCCCUCCCUGGUGAGCUUGGAGUAAAAUAAGUGGACUAAAAUAUUGACAUCGUUUUAUCCUUUGUGAGAGGUAUCAAAACGCAUUAAUGAAGUAGGCUGCAGACAGAAAGAAGAGGAAGAGUACAUGUCUGGAGGAAAGAACCAUUAAUUAUAUCUCAGCCUAAAGAAUUGAAUGCUCUCUAUCUGUGAACUUCUCUAUAGCUAACUGAGGUGCUUCUCUUCUAUCAGGAUCAGUGCAAAUAACGAGAGUGAACAUUUAUGUAAGUGUUCACUAUGUGCCAGGCUUUGUUCUGGCUCUUUAUAUAUAUACAUAUAUAUAUAUAUAAACUCAUUUACACUGAUUAACCCAUUUUACAGAUGGGGAAAGUAAGGCACUUAGAAGGUAGGUAACUUGCUCAACAUUACCUGGCUAGUCAGUGGCGGAGUCUGGGUUUAAACCCUGGCUAUCUGGCUCCAGAGUCUUCAUUCCUAAGCACUAUGCUAGACUGAACAGUUACCAAGACUACCGAGCAAGACUGUACAUUCCAUCAUGUAGCCUGGGCACCCAUAAGACAUUCUCCUGUGAGUGAGCAAGAGAUGAUCUUUGCUUAUUAUUGGCAUCCCACAGAAGUCUGCAGACAGAAGAGAGCUGGCUUCAGCAGUUCUGAUUCCAGUGAAUCUCCCAAGAACAACAGAGCAGUGUCUGGAGUUGUGGUUUAUCUUUAAACCAAAAAAUUGUGAAAUCGAGGUUCAUUGUUUCUGAGAACUGUACAGAAUCUGUUAUGUCUUCAUGUGAUCAGCAGUGAUGUGUGUUACAAACACAAACAUCUGUUUACCCUUUACUUAUUAGAGAGGAUGCAAAGUCUUUAAAAGGAUAAAAAAGAUGAAAGUCCUGUCAAGAGCUGUGCACACUCAUAACUGACAGGUCACGAGGAAUGGAGGUGGCACUUCCAAGAGAUGGAGGCUGCAAUAAGGAUGAGAAGCAACAUCCUGAAAGGUCGGAGGAAGAAUCUGAAUGCCCACAUGGGAGCUAAGCUCUCUCCAGAAGGAGUGUCGGGGGAUAAGAAGAAGCAUUUCUUGAGUACUCAAUAUUUGCCAGCAAUGUGAAGAACUGGUGCCAUCUCUUUCAUCUGGACAGCAGCAACCCUCCUACUGGAUCUCCACAAGUACUCUUACCUCCCUUCAAUUUAUUCUAGAAGCCAGAGUUCUAAAAGGGCCAGCCUGAGCAACAUGAGCAAUUUCCCUGCUCACACUCUUGAAAGAUCUCUUGCUGCUCUUAGGGACGUCAUUGAAACUCUUCCCAUGCUCACGACAUGCUACACUUGCAGGUCCCUGCAUGCCUGGAAGCCUCACGCUUGGCCUCAGCCACAUUGGUCUCCUUUCAGUUCUGACAAAGAUUCUCUCUUUGACCCAACUCUAGCCUUCUCAUCUAGGCCUCAAACUUGGCCUAUAAAAUCUAUAGACUCUUGAGGCCAGCCUAUGGCCUAGUGGUUAAGUUUGGUGCAGUCUGCUUUGGCGGCCCAGGUUCGGUUCCUGGGUGGAGACCUACACCACUUGUCAAUGGCCAUGCUGUGGGGGCAACCCACCUACAAAAUAGGGGAAGAUUGGCACAGAUGUUAGCUCAGGGUUAAUCUUCCUUAGCAAAACAAAACAAAACUAUAGGCUCUCAGCACAAAUGAUUUCAUCCACUCACCCUCCACCCAUUAAAAGACUUAAACACUAACAUAGUUUCUAACAGCUCAAGGCCACAUCCCUAAGAUGAUCCUAGCCCCCCUUAACAGUAUCUGCCUGAGAAAGUUCAAGGCUGCCAAAAGCAUUUACUGUUUGUUCCAGCCACCGUCUGAGGAUGGCCCCUGACCACCCUUUCUUAGAUCACUUCCUACAAAGGCUUACAACGGCGAGUCCUCUGAGUCCUUUUGAGAUGUAUAUGUAUCUCCUACAACUCAGGAGUGUCUUUCUCAGGGAUGUGAAAGCCAUACCUUUGAAAUGUAAUCAUCAUGAAAGCUUGUCCCCCAGUCUCUGUGGGAGGAAGACUCUUAACUUCCAUCACCGCCAGCUAACAGACGCAGCUGGCCUCAGCACAUCAACGCUGACCAUCCCUUAUAAUUGCUCACAUCCUGACUCUGCUCGAGCCCCUGUGGGUCCCCCUCCCUGCUCCCUGAUUCUCCCUUUAAAAUGCCCAGUCAUCUCUGGACAGGCUGAAGUGGAUCCUCUUUCCCUGCUGCACUUGUAUACUCCUGAUAAAAAUCUGUCCCGACCACUUUCACCAGUGUCAGUUCCUCAGACACAACUUCCUCUAGUGAAACCUCCAGCUUCCUUGACACCUUGUUGGGUCUUCCUCAAGGAUGCCUUUCCAGACACACAGAAGAGCUUGGUCCUUCCACUUCAUGUCUUCAGAGCACCCCACAAUACUCCUUAACCCAGCUCUAAUUAAAUUUGUACUGUGAGAUAAAUUAACUAACAUCUAUCUCCACCAUGAAGACAAGGAAAACUGAGGCUAAAACAGGUAUAUUUCCACGGCCUACAUCUCUAAAACGUAUUUGAAUGACUGAGCGAAUGGAUAAAUGAGUGAAGGUUGAAUAAAUAUGCAACUAAUAGGAUACUAAUAGCUUGAGGAAGCACCACAGAAAAGCAGAACAAAACAACAAACUGUUUAACUGUGUUUAAUAUGGCAUUUCCUACAUUUAUUAGAACACAGGUUUCUUUAUUUGUGAAAAUCUACCAACAUUUGUGGCAGAGACAGCCAUGUGGUGAUAAAUGGCAAGCAAUAGGACAUACUGGAGUAUAUGAGGAAGCCAUUUGGUGUAAGCCUGAUUCGGCCUGACCUUGUUUUUCCAAAAGGCCCUGACAUGGCUGUUGAGCAUGCACUGUAUAUCUGCUUUAAGCAUUUGCUAUGUCCCAAAGACAAGAACAAAUGGCCUUAGGAUAGAGGUGCAACUUCCUCUACACUGGCAGUUCCUUAAGGAUAAGCAUCUCUCCCUAGACCAGGAAUUGACUGCUGUGCUCACCUGUGACCACCCAGCUCGAGACAACAGAUCUGCCACCCUGCU